AAUGAGCCUCAAUCGCGGUGGAACACCGGUGUGAAUCCGGGACGGUCCCGCCACUGUGACGCUCCCGGGCGAAGUCAGACCAGAACCGCGCUCACCCACCCCGACCGGGGUGGGA
RNAcentral lists this small RNA (115 nucleotides) under Cutibacterium acnes. Lineage: Bacteria; Bacillati; Actinomycetota; Actinomycetes; Propionibacteriales; Propionibacteriaceae. The record is from RNAcentral.